GAGUUUGAUCAUGGCUCAGGAUGAACGCUGGCGGCGUGCCUAAUACAUGCAAGUCGAGCGAACGGACGAGAAGCUUGCUUCUCUGAUGUUAGCGGCGGACGGGUGAGUAACACGUGGAUAACCUACCUAUAAGACUGGGAUAACUUCGGGAAACCGGAGCUAAUACCGGAUAAUAUUUUGAACCGCAUGGUUCAAAAGUGAAAGACGGUCUUGCUGUCACUUAUAGAUGGAUCCGCGCUGCAUUAGCUAGUUGGUAAGGUAACGGCUUACCAAGGCAACGAUGCAUAGCCGACCUGAGAGGGUGAUCGGCCACACUGGAACUGAGACACGGUCCAGACUCCUACGGGAGGCAGCAGUAGGGAAUCUUCCGCAAUGGGCGAAAGCCUGACGGAGCAACGCCGCGUGAGUGAUGAAGGUCUUCGGAUCGUAAAACUCUGUUAUUAGGGAAGAACAUAUGUGUAAGUAACUGUGCACAUCUUGACGGUACCUAAUCAGAAGG
RNAcentral lists this ribosomal RNA (499 nucleotides) under uncultured microorganism. RNAcentral describes it as "bacterial SSU rRNA". It matches the Rfam family "Bacterial small subunit ribosomal RNA", at positions 9 to 490 of the family's 1533-position model. The record is from RNAcentral.